GACAAAGGGCUUAACCCCACUUUACCAGAACUCCUCAAGACCAUAAAAGGUCAUACCCAGGCCUGUUUAGAUGUUAUACCUCAGAGCCUUCCAACAUCAACAUCAGUAAAUCCUUCUGUUAAAAUUCAAACAGACUUAAAACAAAAGUUUCCAAACUUACCUGAAACAGAACUCUUAGUUAAAACUAUGGAUUAUAUGAAGACACAAUUCUUACAAUCCUUAGUCCCGGAUGAUGCCUCCAUGAAGACUAUUAACAGUGAUGAAGACUCUGAACAGGAUGACAAUCAAUUCAAUGUUUU
Molecule: long non-coding RNA, 299 nt
Filed under: Panax ginseng (ginseng)
Lineage: Eukaryota; Viridiplantae; Streptophyta; Magnoliopsida; Apiales; Araliaceae
Description: long non-coding RNA (PGIN_LNC011690)
Source: RNAcentral